GCGCUCUCUUCGGAGGGAGCGGCGGACGGGUUAGUAACGCGUGGGAACAUACCCUUUGGUACGGAAUAGCCUCUGGAAACGGAGAGUAAUACCGUAUGAGCCCUUCGGGGGAAAGAUUUAUCGCCAAAGGAUUGGCCCGCGUUAGAUUAGGUAGUUGGUGGGGUAACGGCCUACCAAGCCUACGAUCUAUAGCUGGUUUUAGAGGAUGAUCAGCAACACUGGGACUGAGAUACGGCCCAGACUCCUACGGGAGGCAGCAGUGGGGAAUCUUGGACAAUGGGGGCAACCCUGAUCCAGCCAUGCCGCGUGAGUGAUGAAGGCCUUAGGGUCGUAAAGCUCUUUCGCCUGUGAAGAUAAUGACGGUAGCAGGUAAAGAAACCCCGGCUAACUCCGUGCCAGCAGCCGCGGUAAUACGGAGGGGGUUAGCCGUUGUUCGGAAUUACUGGGCGUAAAGCGCACGUAGGCGGACUGGAAAGUUGGGGGUGAAAUCCCAGGGCUCAACCCUGGAACUGCCUCCAAAACUAUCAGUCUAGAGUUCGAGAGAGGUGAGUGGAAUUCCGAGUGUAGAGGUGAAAUUCGUAGAUAUUCGGAGGAACACCA
RNAcentral lists this ribosomal RNA (600 nucleotides) under uncultured bacterium. RNAcentral's name for it is "bacterial SSU rRNA". It matches the Rfam family "Bacterial small subunit ribosomal RNA", at positions 66 to 711 of the family's 1533-position model. The record is from RNAcentral.